UACAACCUGCCCUUCAGAGGGGGACAACAGUUGGAAACGACUGCUAAUACCGCAUACGAUCUAAUCUCGGCAUCGAGGAUAGAUGAAAGGUGGCCUCUACAUGUAAGCUAUCACUGAAGGAGGGGAUUGCGUCUGAUUAGCUAGUUGGAGGGGUAACGGCCCACCAAGACUACGAUGGAUAGGGGUUCUGAGAGGAAGGUCCCCCACAUUGGAACUGAGACACGGUCCAA
RNAcentral lists this ribosomal RNA (230 nucleotides) under uncultured bacterium. Its description in RNAcentral is "partial 16S ribosomal RNA". It matches the Rfam family "Bacterial small subunit ribosomal RNA", at positions 120 to 334 of the family's 1533-position model. The record is from RNAcentral.